This 253-nucleotide ribosomal RNA is filed under the name uncultured bacterium. RNAcentral's name for it is "partial 16S ribosomal RNA". It matches the Rfam family "Bacterial small subunit ribosomal RNA", at positions 524 to 776 of the family's 1533-position model. The record is from RNAcentral.
UACGGAGGGUGCAAGCGUUAUCCGGAUUUACUGGGUUUAAAGGGUGCGUAGGUGGGUUGGGAAGUCAGUGGUGAAAUACUUUCGCUUAACGAAGGAACUGCCAUUGAUACUAUCAAUCUUGAAUGUAGUGGAGGUAGGCGGAAUGCGUCAUGUAGCGGUGAAAUGCUUAGAUAUGACGCAGAACACCAAUUGCGAAGGCAGCUUGCUACACUACUAUUGACACUGAGGCACGAAAGCGUGGGGAUUAAACAGG